GAUGAAGAACGUAGCGAAAUGCGAUAAGUAAUGUGAAUUGCAGAAUUCAGUGAAUCAUCGAAUCUUUGAACGCACAUUGCGCCCGGUAGUAUUCUGCCGGGCAUGCCUGUUCGAGCGUCAUUUCAACCAUCAAGCCCCAGCGCUUGUGUUGGGGGCCUGCGGCUGCCGCAGCCCCCCAAAAGCAGUGGCGGGCUCGCUAUCACACCGAGUGCAGUAGUUCAUCUUCUCACCGGUCUUGUGAGGCGGGUUCCGGCCGUGAACCACCCCACUACAUUCAAGGUUGACCUCGGAUCAGGUAGGAAUACCCGCUGAACUUAAGCAUAUCAAUAAGCGGAUGA
RNAcentral lists this unclassified non-coding RNA (338 nucleotides) under soil metagenome. RNAcentral's name for it is "partial contains 5.8S ribosomal RNA, internal transcribed spacer 2, and large subunit ribosomal RNA". The stretch from base 1 to 120 matches the Rfam family "5.8S ribosomal RNA", at positions 35 to 154 of the family's 154-position model. The record is from RNAcentral.